AUGUGUGAAGAAUAAAUUCACUAUACACCAUUGCACUAUAUAAUGCAUUAUUUAAAAUAUCCCUAUAUCUCCACCUCUGACUUCUUUUUCAGCUCAUGCCCACAUUGCUGAGACAAAUUCUGAUCCACUUCCUCUGACUGCACCCUCGUCCCAGUCGGGAGACAGGCAGGCCGGGGUCUCCUCUGCAGACUGUGACUGUGUCCUGAGUCAGACCAUAGAGAUCACAGUAUGACACGGCAUGAAGAUCCUGCACCUCUCGAAUCAUCACAUCCAUCACUUUGUGCAAAUAUUUAAUUUGAAUAUUGCAACUUGUUCUAUACAUUCAAUACUUUUCCUGACUUGUAAAGUUACUUAUAAGAGACUGGUGAAAAAUUCAGUUAAAAACACACAGAGAGAUUCUAUUUUACAGCAUAACCACUGAAUACU
This is a long non-coding RNA of Pleuronectes platessa (European plaice), 426 nucleotides long. RefSeq lists it as uncharacterized. The record is from RefSeq and is a predicted model, not a curated record. The transcript has 3 exons. Lineage: Eukaryota; Metazoa; Chordata; Actinopteri; Pleuronectiformes; Pleuronectidae.